UAACACGUAGGGGGCGAGCGUUGUCCGGAUUUAUUGGGCGUAAAGAGCUCGUAGGCGGCUCGGUAAGUCGGGUGUGAAACCUCCAGGCUCAACCUGGAGACGCCACCUGAUACUGCUGUGGCUAGAGUCCGGUAGGGGAGUGUGGAACUCCUGGUGUAGCGGUGAAAUGCGCAGAUAUCAGGAAGAACACCAGCGGCGAAGGCGGCACUCUGGGCCGGAACUGACGCUGAGGAGCGAAAGCGUGGGUAGCAAACAGGAUUAGAUACCCUGGUAGUCCACGCCGUAAACGUUGGGCACUAGGUGUGGGUCUCAACCAACGAGAUCCGUGCCGCAGCUAACGCAUUAAGUGCCCCGCCUGGGGAGUACGGCCGCAAGGCUA
This 379-nucleotide ribosomal RNA is filed under the name uncultured bacterium. Its description in RNAcentral is "bacterial SSU rRNA". It matches the Rfam family "Bacterial small subunit ribosomal RNA", at positions 521 to 896 of the family's 1533-position model. The record is from RNAcentral.